CGGGGGGCUGCAGUAGGGAAUAUUGCUUAAUGGGCGAAAGCCUGAAGCAGCAACGCCGCGUGUACGAUGAAGGCCUUCGGGUUGUAAAGUACUUUUUGUAGGGAUGAGGAAGGACAGUACCUGCAGAAUAAGCCUCGGCUAACUACGUGCCAGCAGCCGCGGUAAAACGUAGGAGGCGAGCGUUAUCCGGAUUUACUGGGCGUAAAGCGCGUGUAGGCGGAUUGGUAAGUUGGCUGUGAAAGCUCCUGGCUUAACUGGGAGAGGUCGGUCAAUACUGUCAGUCUAGAGUAUGUGAGAGGGAAGUGGAAUUCCGGGUGUAGUGGUGAAAUGCGUAGAUAUCCGGAGGAACACCAGAGGCGAAAGCGGCUUCCUGGCACAUUACUGACGCUCAGACGCGAAAGCUAGGGUAGCAAACGGGAUUAGAUACCCCAGUAGUC
This 437-nucleotide ribosomal RNA is filed under the name uncultured Anaerolineaceae bacterium. RNAcentral's name for it is "bacterial SSU rRNA". It matches the Rfam family "Bacterial small subunit ribosomal RNA", at positions 342 to 795 of the family's 1533-position model. The record is from RNAcentral. Lineage: Bacteria; Bacillati; Chloroflexota; Anaerolineae; Anaerolineales; Anaerolineaceae.